Molecule: regulatory RNA element, 35 nt
Rfam family: S16-Flavobacteria ribosomal protein leader
Source: Rfam
AUUAAUAACCGGGGUCGAGAACCCCAAAAUUUAAU